This 1161-nucleotide ribosomal RNA is filed under the name Triticum aestivum (bread wheat). RNAcentral's name for it is "partial small subunit ribosomal RNA". The record is from RNAcentral. Lineage: Eukaryota; Viridiplantae; Streptophyta; Magnoliopsida; Poales; Poaceae.
AUGUAUCCAGUUAGUUUUGGAGUCUUUGAUUCUGAAAAUAAUGAGAAUUGGACGUGGUUCAUGCAAUUGCUAAGACGGGCCAUAGGAUCACCAAAUGGGUUGGCCAUAUGCACCGAUCUUGGUCAAGCAGUAAUGACAGGGGUGAAAGAAAUGUUCCCAGAGGCGGAACAUAGGGAAUGCAUGUUUCACUUGCUGACCAACUUCAAGAAGAAGUUCCAUGGGAAGGUAUUUGAUGACCACCUUUGGGCUGCUGCUUACUCAUGGAACCCAUAUUUAUUUGACAAACAUUGGGUUGCCAUGGAGACAACAAAGCCAGUUGCAACUGCAUAUAUAAGGAAGUGGCACAAUAGGUUGUGGUCUUGGAGUCAAUUCUCAACUAUCUGCAAGGAUGACUAUGUGACCAACAACCUGGCUGAGAGCUUUAACAAUUGGAUUAAGCACCACAAGUCCUUGAACUUGGACGACCUCUUUGAUAAGGCGGGACAAUUGAUUAUGAUAUUGUGGAACCGAAGGAGAAAAGUAUCAAAGGAGUUAGAUGGUUUGAUUCUUCCCCACAUAAUUAAGAAGCUGAAUGCAAUGACCAGGGAAUUAAACUUGGAGGCGGUAGAAAGCUUAGAAGAAGUGGCUGAAGUAAUUGCAAUUGGUGGUAGUGGCUUUAGGUUUGUGGUCAACUUGCAAGAGGGGACAUGUUCUUGUCGACAAUGGAAAGUUUCCGUCCUUCCUUGCAAACAUUCUCUUCCUUUCAUCACUUCACUUAGAAAUGCAGACAUACGACACUAUAUGGACUUGUAUUUCUCCAUUGACAAAUAUAGAGCAGCUUAUGCCAAUAUGCUGGACAAGACCCAAUGGCCUAAAUCAGACCAUGGAUUCUUCAUGCAUCCACCACUAUUGAAGGCCAUGGCUGGUACGCGUAAAACUGAGAGGUACAAAGGUUACGAUAAGAAGAAAAGGAAAAGUGGUCAACAGUUAUGCCCUAUUUGUAAGGAAUAUGGGCAUCAUUGGCACAAAUGUAAGAAGGGAAACCUAGAGGACAUUGCUGCAAUGAUGGUUGUGAGAGAACCACCAAAGAAAAGGACAAAGACAACCAAAACAGCUGAGUUAUCCAUUGUGCCUUGUGAAGACGGAGUACCAAAAAGAACUAUUUUCCCCCAAGGUUUGUAA